Long non-coding RNA from Haliotis rubra (blacklip abalone), 1104 nucleotides. RefSeq lists it as uncharacterized. Lineage: Eukaryota; Metazoa; Mollusca; Gastropoda; Lepetellida; Haliotidae. The transcript has 4 exons. The record is from RefSeq and is a predicted model, not a curated record.
GUUACAGAUAUAGGGAGCUGUAAAUCAGCCAAGAAUGGUGUAGGGGGGUCGGUAGAGACUAGCUGAGGUGUGAUUGGUGUAGGCAACGGUGACAGUUGACAGGGUUUCCAGUCUGUGUUGAUGGAGACAGGAAACGAUACGGGUCAGGAUAGAGAGGGAGAGUUCAGGUAAUGGUCUGGGUUGGUGGAGACAGGAUAGAGAGGGAGAGUUCAGGAUAGAGAGGAAGAGUUCAGGUUAUGGUCUGGGUUGGUGGAGACAGGAUAGAGAGGGAGAGUUCAGGUUAUGGUCUGGGUUGGUGGAGACAGGAUAGAGAGGGAGAGUCCAGGUAAUGGUCUGGGUUGGUGGAGACAGGAUAGAGAGGAAGAGUUCAGGUUAUGGUCUGGGUUGGUGGAGACAGGAUAGAGAGGGAGAGUCCAGGUAAUGGUCAGGGUUGGUGGAGACAGGAUAGAGAGGAAGAGUUCAGGUUAUGGUCUGGGUUGGUGGGGACAGGAUAGAGAGGGAGAGUCCAGGUUAUGGUCAGGGUUGGUGGAGACAGGAUAGAGAGGAAGAGUUCAGGUUAUGGUCUGGGUUGGUGGAGACAGGAUAGAGAGGAAGAGUUCAGGUUAUGGUCAGGGUUGGUGGAGACAGGAUAGAGAGGGAGAGUCCAGGUUAUGGUCAGGGUUGGUGGAGACAGGAUAGAGAGGAAGAGUUCAGGUUAUGGUCUGGGUUGGUGGAGACAGGAUAGAGAGGAAGAGUUCAGGUAAUGGUCUGGGUUGGUGGAGACAGGAUAGAGAGGAAGAGUUCAGGUUAUGGUCUGGGUUGGUGGAGACAGGAUAGAGAGGGAGAGUCCAGGUAAUGGUCUGGGUUGGUGGAGACAGGAUAGAGAGGGAGAGUCCAGGUUAUGGUCUGGGUUGGUGGAGACAGGAUAGAGAGGGAGAGUCCAGGUUAUGGUCUGGGUUGGUGGGUACAGGAUAGAGAGGGAGAGUUCAGGUUAUGGUCUGGGUUGGUGGAGACAGGAUAGAGAGGAAGAGUCCAGGUUAUGGUCUGGGUUGGUGGAGACAGGAUAGAGAGGAAGAGUUCAGGUUAUGGUCUGGGUUGGUGGGUACAGGAUAGAGAGGGAGAGUU